Molecule: long non-coding RNA, 4215 nt
Organism: Tympanuchus pallidicinctus (lesser prairie-chicken)
Lineage: Eukaryota; Metazoa; Chordata; Aves; Galliformes; Phasianidae
Exons: 3
Source: RefSeq, a predicted model, not a curated record
UGGAGGAGAGGAGAGUUAGACAGUGCAGAAGUACGUCACCUACCAGGGAUGCAGAUUUACUAAGCUUUCCUAGUGCCAUUCUCAGGAGGGGCCAGGCUGAUAUGCUGUAGUCAGACACAGCUGUGGUUCCAUGGGCCCAUAUGCGCCAUUCUCCUGCCCAGCUCUCUGCUAGCUGUGCUACAGCACAGCAUUAUUGCCUACACCUGAGACCCCCAUGAAGUAGGGACAAAAGGGGUGUGGUUUGGAUUUAGCUCAGCUGCAGGUCAUGUCUCAUCACGUGCUUCUCUGGGGCAAAGCACAGCCAUGGGGUGGUUUACAGCAGGUUCUGGAAAAUAUAUUUCUGGAGCCUCUUCCCAAGGAAGUUAGUGCUUUUUUGGUGGCUGUAUAGACUGUUCAGAAGGAGUAAGGCAUAGCUGUGUGUCUUUGUGUGGUUGUGCAGUGUGCAUCUGUCCUACCUAGGAGCCCUGUGUUAGGUUUUGGGCCUGAUCUCAGGCACUGAUGGGAGAGGGCCAACAAUGUGUGACGCUGAAAGGCUUCUGAUAUUCAGGAGGACUACAUAACUUCCGUAUUCAACCUAUAAGAACAGUGGAAGAAAACUGAUGCAUUUGAUGCAGUACCUGUGUUCUCUAGUGCCUUGAAGUGCAGAAGUCUUCAUGUCCUUCUGCUGUGCCUGUGCAAGAAGUAUAUGCUCAUGUAGCCUUUUGACACGUAAGCUAGGAACCUCUGGAAGGAUCAGACCAUGCAGUUCAGGAAGACUUGGAAACACUUUUUAAUUAAACAAAAAAGAGCUGCCCUGUUAGCAUGUGCAUGGUGUGGUACAGGAUUAGAAAGAAAACCUGAUGCAUUGUACCAAUUAGUCAGACUGAUUUAUCUAUUGUUUGUGCUAUAAGCUGUGCAUAGUUAUUUGCUUAUGAGUACUGGCUCAAAGCCUUGGUCCUUCUCGCAAAGCCAUUAAAGUCAUUAGUUGGGGUCUUAUUGAUUUGAACAAGACCAAGCCUUGACUCAUUGUGUCUAUCCAGAGGACACCAAUAAACUUUUAAAUCAGUCAAGGCUGUAGAGUCAUUCUGCUGGGGUCAUAUGGUUAAUACAUCCUGUUCCUGUCAUUUCCGCUAUAAAUCUGUGAAUGCUUUUAAAACAAGAGGAAAACUUGAUUCCCUUCCUUUUGCGAAAAAAUAUUAUGUUCCCUUUUAUUACAGCGAAGAUGGGGGUCCUUUUCCUGAGGAAAGCUUGUAAUGGGAAAGGUAAUAUCAAUACAUUCCAUUGUCUCUGGAGUCAGUGAAAAGUAAUUAGAGACAAAGAAAUGAGCCAUAGGUCUCCUAACUGCAAUGCAAACUUUCUCCCACUGAUUUCCCAUAAGCCUUUGCUGGGCACUGAUGUCUAUUAAAAAAUCCCUUAUUUUUAGCAUUUCAUCUAGGUUGCACAAUCUCCUCAAGAUGGAAAAGAUUUUAACUUCCUACCAGUGUAAUCAAACUCACGAUUAUUGACUUCAUUUGUGUGACUUUGCCAUUGUGUGACUGGGUCAUUAAUUUUUUUACUUCCAGUCUCUCCCUGUUAAAUUUAGUAGUCCAAACAAAACUGUGGUGGAGAAUACCAAUCCUAAUUUUGUUCAUUUAAAAGCAGAACUCUGCAAUCUGUUCUUAUCUCACAUUUUGUUGCUUUCAGGAAGAUCUCAAUGGAUCUAGUGAAGCAAAGAGUUGUAUGGGAAUGAAGAUGGAUCAUGAAAAAUGGAUCUUGAGAGCAAUUUGGUUAUUUCAAAGCUGACAAAGGAAUCAGUGGGGUCUUAUUUAAGUCAGUAAAUAUAGCUGGCUAUACACUUUGUAAAUGCUACUUGGGCUGAGAGGGAGGUUAACAGCUUCCACUGGUCACCUUUUCUGAUAAACAGAUGAUAUGAGAGAAGAAGAAAGGAUCUUUCUUAUGCAUAUGUAUUUAGAUGUAUUACUGUGUCCAGUUUGAAAGCCCAGCUGGCUUUCAGAGUUAGUGGAUUGUGUCUCUGUGUGCAUGCACGUGCAUGUUUUAUAAAUGGUUUGAUCUUACCUGAGAAUCUGUGGCUCUGGUUACAUUCCAUUUGUUCACACUUUUUCUGUAGGCUCCAUAGUGAGCUUGCUGGACAGUUCAUUAAGUUAGCUGACAGUGCACAUACAGCCUUUCCACCCACCUCCCCCAGCCCUAAAAUAAAAAAUAAAGAAAUUAAAAUGGGAAGAAGGAAAAAUACUAUGCAAAUAGCUCAGAUGCAUAGACACCUUUAAGCUAAUGCAGUUUUGAGCAUCAUAAAAAAAAAAUGUUUUUUCAGGAGUAUUGCAGUUACUCCAGUGACAUGACCACCUUGCAGCAGUGCCAGUGCUGGCUGUCAGAACUGGCUAUCUCAGUAAGGCUGACAAAACUUCCAUCGCUGACUUUUUAGAGUCAGAGUGCUUCUAAGGAGCCCCCUUUUUUUUUUUUUUUUUUUUUUUUUCUUCCUUGCAACAGUUAAGGUAGCUUCUAGGUACUUGGGCAUCUCACUUUGCAAAGCAAGUGGUUCAUAAAUAGCAGUUAGUGUGAUCAGUUGCUUUUGAAAAUGUUCUUUUGGUGUUACGACUCAGUUCAUCCAACUUCCAGCAUGUUAUUUCUCCAAAUAUUAUUAAAAACAAACAAACCAGCUACUAGGUCAACCGCAAAGAUACCUUUUCAAAGGGUUCAACCCUUUCAAAUAGUUCAUUCUGUUUCUUAAAGUUGCUGCAAACCUGGUCCCUGGAGUUAUAUCAAUGUAAGAGCACUACUAGAAGAAUGAAAUCACUGAACAGUCAUUCUGUUGCUUUCUUUUACAUGAAAACCUUCUUGUUCAACUAGGAAUCCUCAAGCAGUGCAUUCAUGUAAACCAUCAACUCUGCUCUCAUACAAUGAGUGGUCAGCACAGCUGAGUUUUAAAAAGCCUUUGUAACAGCUCAGAAAAACCCCUCAAGCCCCCCUUUGGGAUUAGUACCUUUAGUUAAUGUUGGUUAACACUUAUUUGGAACAGGCAUGUUAUUCUUUCCUUAACCUUUAUUCUCAUCGUUCUUCCAAUCUCCUUUUAAAUUCCAUUUUCCCCUCCGUUGGCGUCUGUACCCUUAGCUACCUCACAAACAAGCUGCAUUGCCAGCUGGCAUGCAAGAACAGAACUGAGAGCAGCACUGCUAACCCCUGCUCCUCUCCACUCCCUGCAAAGUUGGAGGCAUAUCAAGCUUGAUGCUGAGAUCCCGGAAAGCGGAAUUCUGAGCUUCCUGGGAACUCAAAGAGCUGGGUUUGAGGCUAUUAAGUUAUUGGGCUGGGUCACUGAGCUACAGUUGUUCAUACAUCUCUGUUUUAUACAUUUUUUUUUUUGGAGUGAGCAGAUGUUCCUACUUGCGCUGAGUAUUUGUUAUGCUGUGAAAACCAGAAAACAGUGCAACAGAUUAUAGGCAGUUUUAAUCAAUUUUGUUAAGGUAACCAAAAUCUGGUCCAGAACGACAAGCCCAAUGCUUUUCAAAGUGGUUUAAGUAAGAAAAGAUUUGGACAAACCAAUGUUGCAGUAGGUUUUGGCUAUGGGCAGCACUAACUUGAUUUUUGCCAAAUUUUUUGUUCUUAAUGAAAAUAGAAAUUGAGAACUCUUAAAUAAAAUAAAAUACAGAAUCUGGAAAAACUUUGUUCAUCCAGUCCUGUGCAUUGCUGCUCACUCUUUUGAUCCACACACAGUGGUUGAACCUAAAGUAUAUUUAACUUUCCCCCAACCUGCCCAGCCCUGAGUUUUGUUCUGAAUUUGUUGUGUCUUUUUUUCUACAUUGGUAAAUGUUUCUGUCUUCAGUUUGUAAGGUAGAAAGCCUAGCCACAGGACAUCAACAACUUCCAUGUUGCCUGUUUGGGAAAAGAAAAUACGCAUUUAAAAGAAUCAGCAGUUUAGAGAGAGAGGAUAUAAUGUGAUUGAAGAUUUUCACUGUAACACUGUAGAGUACAAAAAAAAUAUAUAUAUAAAAUGCAUUUUAAAUGAUUAAUGUACAAAAGCUGACCUCUUCCAGUGUGCAUUAAUCAAGAAAAAAUGCACAGUGUCAAUAGUGGUUAAUGUUGCAGGUCCAUUAUUUAGCUUUGAUAAUGUGCAUAAAAAUGCUCAAUAUGACAAUGAGUUGGGGUAGCUGAGAAUUUAGGAUGGUGGCAAGUUUGUUGUAGUAUUUGGAUUAGCAUUCUUAACCUACAUCUUGACAGCUUCUUUUCUUCAGUUUCGAAGAG